This is a long non-coding RNA of Dreissena polymorpha, 343 nucleotides long. RefSeq lists it as uncharacterized. NCBI's taxonomy places the organism in Eukaryota, Metazoa, Mollusca, Bivalvia, Myida, Dreissenidae. The record is from RefSeq and is a predicted model, not a curated record. The transcript has 3 exons.
AUACCAAGAUGUAAUAUAGUUUUUACACAUAAUGCAACUCAAAAAGCAAAUAAACAUUAUUUACAAAUAUUAAGUGCGCGUACUCGUGACGUCAUUAUUGAUACGUCAUACGACACAAUGCAUGUUGUUUCACGCUAAAGAUGCAGUUGUUUAGUGUCUUUUUUUCAUUAUUUCUUAAAAAUCGGGGACGUAGAGGUAUGAUAAACGAAAAACAGGAGUUACUGCAAACCAGGCACAUAUCAGAACUUCAAGGGUCAUUCGAGAGGAAUAUUCUGUUUCAACAAGCAGGCUGAGGAGUUUCAUAGCCACAGAUAUACCCUGAGAGGUCUCAUAGCCACAGAUA